UUUCUUCGUUGAUAAGCUCCAGAAAUUUCAAUCUCCACCAAUCCUGUCUCUCCCGCUCCAUUUUCCGGCGCCCAUCCCUUCUUCUACCGUCUCAGUUUCCUGUCACAUCCACCGAAGCCAAGGCCACCGUCGCCAAUUUUAUCAGCCUGCCCCAUAAGUUCCGGUUCCACUCCAUCAAGUCCUCACCGAUUAUGGCUUCAUCCUUCAAUCCCGAGCAAGCUAGAUCUCCACCUGCACUUCCGUUGCCGAUCCCUCCGGUCACCAAGUUUAAAAUCGCGCUAUGUCAAUUGGCGGUGACGGCUGAUAAGCAAAGGAAUAUUGAACAUGCUCGUAAGGCCAUUGAAGAGGCUGUGGAAAAGGGCGCCCAGCUUGUUGUCUUGCCGGAAAUAUGGAAUUGUCCUUAUUCCCACGAUUGCUUACCACUUUAUGCUGAGGACAUUGAAGCCGGUGGUGAUGCUUCCCCUUCAACAGCCAUGUUAUCUGAAGUUGCUCGUCGUUUAAAAGUCACAAUAGUCGGCGGCUCAAUUGUAG
Molecule: unclassified non-coding RNA, 531 nt
Filed under: Hevea brasiliensis (rubber tree)
Lineage: Eukaryota; Viridiplantae; Streptophyta; Magnoliopsida; Malpighiales; Euphorbiaceae
Source: RNAcentral